This 483-nucleotide ribosomal RNA is filed under the name Aspergillus sydowii. RNAcentral's name for it is "eukaryotic LSU rRNA". The stretch from base 197 to 483 matches the Rfam family "Eukaryotic large subunit ribosomal RNA", at positions 1 to 284 of the family's 3401-position model. Lineage: Eukaryota; Fungi; Ascomycota; Eurotiomycetes; Eurotiales; Aspergillaceae. The record is from RNAcentral.
GGGGGGCAUGCCUGUCCGAGCGUCAUUGCUGCCCAUCAAGCCCGGCUUGUGUGUUGGGUCGUCGUCCCCCCCGGGGGACGGGCCCGAAAGGCAGCGGCGGCACCGUGUCCGGUCCUCGAGCGUAUGGGGCUUUGUCACCCGCUCGACUAGGGCCGGCCGGGCGCCAGCCGACGUCUCCAACCAUUUUUCUUCAGGUUGACCUCGGAUCAGGUAGGGAUACCCGCUGAACUUAAGCAUAUCAAUAAGCGGAGGAAAAGAAACCAACCGGGAUUGCCUCAGUAACGGCGAGUGAAGCGGCAAGAGCUCAAAUUUGAAAUCUGGCCCCUCCGGGGUCCGAGUUGUAAUUUGCAGAGGAUGCUUCGGGUGCGGCCCCUGUCUAAGUGCCCUGGAACGGGCCGUCAGAGAGGGUGAGAAUCCCGUCUUGGGCAGGGUGCCCGUGCCCGUGUGAAGCUCCUUCGACGAGUCGAGUUGUUUGGGAAUGCA